UGGGGAAUUUUCCGCAAUGGGCGCAAGCCUGACGGAGCAAUACCGCGUGAGGGAGGAAGGCUUUUGGGUUGUAAAGCACUUUCAGUAGAGAAGAAAAGCUCAUGGUUAAUACCCGUGAGUCUUGACGUAACCUACAGAAGAAGCACCGGCUAACUCCGUGCCAGCAGCCGCGGUAAUACGGAGGGUGCGAGCGUUAAUCGGAAUUACUGGGCGUAAAGCGCGCGUAGGUGGUUCUGUAAGUCGGAUGUGAAAGCCCAGGGCUUAACCUUGGAACUGCAUUCGAUACUGCAGAACUAGAGUAUGGUAGAGGGAAGUGGAAUUUCCGGUGUAGCGGUGAAAUGCGUAGAUAUCGGAAGGAACACCAGUGGCGAAGGCGACUUCCUGGGCCAAUACUGACACUGAGGUGCGAAAGCGUGGGGAGCAAACAGGAUUAGAUACCCGGGUAGUCC
This 449-nucleotide ribosomal RNA is filed under the name uncultured prokaryote. RNAcentral describes it as "bacterial SSU rRNA". It matches the Rfam family "Bacterial small subunit ribosomal RNA", at positions 355 to 796 of the family's 1533-position model. The record is from RNAcentral.